UUGGGAAUUUAUCGGCCACAAGAGAAUGUAAAUAAUGUCCUUGUGGGAAUUUAUGGUUGUUCUCAUAACAAAUAUUAAAAAUCAGCAUCCCAGUAUAAAUUUAAAUACAAAAACGGUGCACUCUAGUUCUAGUUAGACCUAUCUCCGAUAUUUAGUUUUGCUAUCCUUAAGUCGCUUCAUCUUCUAAUAAUAAAGCUCUCUCCAUUUUAGCAGGAGUAUUUAUUAUGUUCUACACAACUGUAGUCGAUUUCUCGACCUGCUGCCACUUCUUUGGCGUCAUCCUCUUGGAGAUCUUCGAUAAAAGAGUGGCCAUGUGUGUUUCGUCUUCCUGGCGUCUCUUCAUUUCUAUUGAUUUCAGAUUCUUGCACCAAGAAACACAGUGCGUUGAGUCAACAUGUUUGGAAGAUGUCAUCUUCUUCCUCCUCUUUGGGGUUGCGAGAUCUACAAACUGCAGUUUCAUAUAUGAGAAUAAUUAAUUAGCAGGGUGCAAGCGAACUACAUCUAUGCCUACAUCUAUGCCGACGACAUGUCAUUAACGUAUUUAUACGUCCAUGAUGAUCAUGUAUAUCAUAUGCUAGAUGAAAGCAAUGAUGAUGUCAUGCGAGAGAUCAAAUCAGCAGGAUCUAUUAUAGUUCCUCAUGCUUCAACUGGCAUGUGGAUUCUCCCUCCGGAUUUCUAGCCGACCAAGUCUACUCUAGUCUAGCAUGACACACCUCUAACUUUAUUCAUAGAAUAGAAGGUAUUGCAGUCAGCCUUAAUAAUCAUUAUUUGGGCAUUUGGGCCAUAUAGAUCAUAGAAAUAGCUAUUAGUACAUAGGAAGUCGUCACAUUUCACCGAGACGUGUGCAUAAGACUUGUUAAAGAUUGUUGUUCCUAAUCUUGUUGGAAUAUGCAAAAUUUAUGUAUAUCUUUACUGUUAGAAGAUAGGAGAAUGGAUACAAUAAAAGAUACAACACAUGUCAUGAACGCACGGAGGUAUGAGCAUGCAGCCUGGAGCAGAGAGAGAGAAGGGCUGCUCAUCCCGAACUGGGUAAAUGAGACAUCUCAACGCACAAAGCCUAAAACUACAUGAGUAUGCAGAAUCAGUAGGACAUCCAGCAUCUUCGAAUCAAACACCAGGGACACUACGAGCGAGCAAGACAGCGUCUUCAAAAAACAGAAUUGUUUCGAUCUGUGAGAUGCAUGGGUGGAAUAUUGUGUUAUGGCAUACAAAAUUGACGAAUUAUCCGUUCUUGGCUUGUGUCGUUUAAUGCUAUACUCCCUCCGUUCCUAAAUAUAAGACCUUUUAGAGAUUUCACUAUAAACUACAUACGGAUGUAUAUAGACAUAUUAUAGAGUAUAGAUUCAUUCAUUUUUCUUCGUAUGUAGUCUCUAAUGAAAUCUCUACAAGGUCUUAUAUUUAGGAACAGAGGGAGUAUAUGCUAGUGGGGUUUGAUAGUCCUUUUAUACGUGUACCGCAUGCAGUAUGCUCUACUAUGUACUUUCUUCGUCUCAAAAUUAUUGUCUUAGAUUUGUCUAGUUAUAAAUGUAUCGAGUCAUAUUUUACUAUGGGGACUGAUCUACGCCGGCGCGCCGGCCCAAACUUUCGGCCGGCCACGCGCGAGCCGCAGGAUCCACCAACCCCGCGUCGUUCGCACCGUUGGAUCCGCAUGCAACAUUUUUCUUCCUAUGCAGCAAAAUUUCGAUGCUAUGCAGCAAUUUUUUCAAAGGUUGCAACAAAAAACAAAAUUUGUAGCAAAAAAAUAUCUACGUGAUCGUAGCAAAAAAACAAAGCUGAUGGUACGUGGUAGCAAAAGUCAAACGUUGGUUGUAACAAAUAUUUACGUGACGUGUAUGCAACUUUUUUAGUGAACGGUUGCAGCAAAACAUGAUGCCGAUUGUAGCAAAAAUUAACGCGGUUGUAGCAAAAGUAAAAAACAUCAAUUGUAACGAAAAAUCCGACGAACAGGAGUUGCAACCAAACGUAUAUGCGGUUUUUUUACUGGAACAAAAAAAAUAAAAAAAACGAUUGCAGCAAAUAUGACGCUGGUUGCAACAUAUUUAGACGAAAAAUGUUGCAUCCAUUGACCAGCGAAGCGCGCGAGUGAAAAAAAUGUUGCAAGGGCCCGCGCGCGCGAGGGACGACCGGCGCGCGGAUGGGAAACGAUUUCCUUUUACUAUUUACAUACAUCCAUUUUUAAAUAAACCUAAGAUCAAAAUUUUGGGACUGAAAGAGUACACGACAUAGAUUCGGAGAGGGAACCAAUCACGGGCCCUGAUUAGUUAUUGGACCGAGAUCAUCUUUACCAGAGAGCCACUAUAAAGCUUGUUACAUACGUGCCUCAGCGCCUGACAAUUAUAAUACUCCCGUCCCGUCCCGUCCCGUGUGGCGUGAUCGGAAAUCAGCCAACGAUUGUCUGCGCGAAUAGGGAUAUAGGAUAGAUCGAUGGGCCGCCGGCGCCGCCAAACCCCUAGCAUCAAACCGAGCACGCCACCGAUGACGAUGCCAGUCCGGUGGUGGUCCGAUCUCCCCGACGACCUCCUCGACGUGGUCUACAGCAAGGUCGCCGGCCCGCUCAACCGCGUCCGCUUUGCCGCUGUAUGCAGGUCGUGGCGAGCCACCGCGACCACGUCGCUUCACGCCGCGCCGCCCGUCCUCCCGUGGCUCAUGUUCAACGACGCCCGACAGGACGGCGACAAGACGAUGGUGUACUGCCCCGAGGAUGGCCAGGUCUUCCGCAUGUCUCUGCCGAGCCGGGCGGUUGGCAAGCGGUUCGUCGGCGCCUAUGACGGCGGCUGGGUCGCCGCGCUUGGGCACGACAUGCAGCUCGCGGUCGUGAACCUUUUCUCCGGUGUCGAGGCGCGGCUAGCCGCCUGGAACAUGCACGGACUCUCCUUGGGCGGCGGCCGGAACGACAUCCAGAAGAUCGUGUUCUCAGAAUCCCCGGCAUCAACCGGCUGCAUCCUCGCCACCAUCACCCCCCGCUACGGCCUCGCCCUAUGUAGGAUUGGUUGUCGGUACAACAAGUGGACGGACGAAGGACCCGUACAUGAGCUCGUGGACAUCGUGUUCUGCAACGGGCAACUAUUUGGCCUCACCGUCUUCGAGCGAUUGCUCAGGUUCCAAAUAGUUGUGGAUCAUGAUGGCAAGCCGAUGGUCACCGGCCAACCCCACCAGAUCCGAACAGAUAGCUGUCCAACCAUGCAUCCCAAGAACAUCGUUGAUCUACACGGCAGGCCAGCAAUGGUGGUGAGGACCUUGUCGUCAUCAUGUGAAGCCUUUUGCGGGCCUUCCUUCAAGGUGUUUGAGCUUGUUGAUGAUGAUGAAUCGACGGCAGAGCAUGCCCACAAGUGGGAGGAGGCGACGAGUCUAGGCGACUAUGCUGUUUUCUUAGGGAAAAGGUGGUCAAAGGUUGCGUACGUGCCGGCUGUUGGGCGCGGCGGGCUGCAAAGAAACUGCAUCUACAGCACCGAUGACCUGCUUUGCUCAUCGACGAGGUUGGAAGAUCGCGGUGGCCGCAAUUUAUAUCCUACGAGCGACCGCGAUGCCAUGUCGAAGAUCAGAUCGUUUGUGGUUGCUCGUGCUCCGGGUGGUAUGUGGGUUCUCCCUCCGGAUUUCUAGACAACCAAGUGUAGUCUAGAGUGGCUACUUUGGCUCAGUACAUAUAUAAGGUAUUGAAGUCAACCUUUACCAUAAAUUGAACCAUAUGGACUAUAGAGAUCAGUUAUAGUAUAUACAAAAUCGUAGUUUAUGUAGAUGCAUACGUGCCUUAUUAAAAUAGGCAUUAUCAAUGUAUAGGAUGGUUGAAAUAUUGUGUUCUCACACGUAUAUACAAAAAUUAUGGAUCAUUCAUUCUUUUCUUAAUUUUCUCGCUUAAUGUUUUUGGCUAUGUAUCUCGACAAUACAUUUUGAUCUUCUAUGCUAAGAUCAGUUUUGGAUUCAUGGUAAUAACUUGUAUCCUGCAAUGACACGUUCCCUACCACAUAUAGAGAUUCAUAUUGAAUCCUUGUGUAAUUCAAACAAGGGCGGAUAGCAUAUAGAAACAUUUAUUGGCUUAGAAAAGCAAAUGUAAUUUUAUUAGGUCAAUCAAUAACACAUUGAGCUGUUGAGGUGGUUUUCAAAGUGAACGCUGGGGAAAAUCGGCAAACCAGAAGCAGAGGUGGAAUAAUGGAGGAUGAAAGAAAGGGCUUAAUGUGAAAUUUUAUGUGUUUGCCGAAAAAGAAUUUCGCCCCCUUUAUAUAUAACGCAAAACCAGAGACACACAUCCGAUUACAACGCGCCACCACCACACACAAUACACACACCCAAGACGUGCACUCCACCUACGAACACCGUCCCUCCUUUAAAUCCAUUUAGUCUAUCCUCGCAAAAGAAAAUCAAAUGAGUCUUUCUUGUAAUGAAAUUUGUUAGUAGUGUAGAAGAAGAUCACAGAACGAAGAAUUAGUACUAAUUAAAAAUUAGAUUCAGGUAAUGUGGUAAUCCUAUUAAUUUUGAUCAAAGUGAAAUACAUGCGUAAUAGAAUAGCACUGUUGUACUCUAGUAGCAAAGUUUUAAAUAGCUUCGCUAUAGCUUUGCUAUAGCCUUUUCAGUAGGGUGCCGUUAAAUGGUACCAUAUAUAAAUAGACGACUAUAACCCGUUAUAGCUGAUUUAGAGGCCCGCCGCUAUUUGCAUAGCCCGCUAUUUAAAACAUUGAUUAGCAGGGAUUGCAUUCGAUACGACAUGAGAACAUCAAAACACAGAACAUCAAAAAAGAGUUAAUCUUAUCUAGUUUUUCCUCCGUCUAUUUUGAAUCUGGGUUUAUGCAUGGCUUACGACUUACCUCGAAAAUAUAUUCGGAUGACCCGAUAAGGCUGCUGCAGCAAGGAAACAGGCGGCGACGGCCGGCCGUACAACGGACUUGUGGUGGCCGUCCCACAUCCCCUUUCUAGAAGCAGGUAGGCGGCGGCGGCGGCGGCGCCUCCCUGUUUCUCGCUGGUGAAGUUAUUUUUGGCUACGAUUAGUGGAACGAUGUUGACCAGGGCCUCA
This 5005-nucleotide long non-coding RNA is filed under the name Hordeum vulgare. RNAcentral's name for it is "long non-coding RNA (HVUL_LNC017158)". Lineage: Eukaryota; Viridiplantae; Streptophyta; Magnoliopsida; Poales; Poaceae. The record is from RNAcentral.